UCAGUCGGCUGUGAAUCCUGAAGUUUGCUGGCAGCAUAGACAUAUCUCUGGCCUUAUGAGGGCUCACCCCAGCGUCACCCAUAGCACCGUGUUUUUAUUGUCAGUGUUCCCUUACAUGUUCACACUCACUGGAAAUGAUCAAUACAAUUAGUUUUGCUUCUUUUGCCCCAGAACAAAGGGGAUUUGUUGAUGUGACCCGGUUGUACCGAAUCGGACACAUCAUUUUCUAGCUGAACACUCAGCCUCAUCCACUCCAGGACAGCUGAGCAUCUGGUUAUAAGCUGCACGGAUCCUGACCUUUCGGCCUGAGGAUGGAAGUCUUCAGUAUCUGUACAACUUUACUCCCAAGAGCUGGUGUAGAAUGAGUUCCUCCAGCCAUGGGAGGAUCGCAGAGGGGCGCCUGCCACCUGCAGCCCAGCCUUGGUGCGCACUUUCAGCUAAGCUUGGCAGGAUCUCCAACCUCCUAAACUCUGUGUCCUGAGUAGAGCGGAAGAAGACAGCACAAAGCAACCA
This is a long non-coding RNA of Macaca mulatta (Rhesus monkey), 513 nucleotides long. RefSeq lists it as uncharacterized. The record is from RefSeq and is a predicted model, not a curated record. Lineage: Eukaryota; Metazoa; Chordata; Mammalia; Primates; Cercopithecidae.